UAGAUACCCUGGUAGUCCACGCAGUAAACGAUGAAUGUUAGUCGUCGGGAUGCAAGUCAUUUCGGUGAUGCAGUUAACACAUUAAACAUUCCGCCUGGGGAGUACGGUCGCAAGAUUAAAACUCAAAGGAAUAGACGGGGACCCGCACAAGUGGUGGAGCAUGUGGUUUAAUUCGAAGAUACGCGAAGAACCUUACCUAGCCUUGACAUUGAUAGAAUCUUCCAGAGAUGGAGGAGUGCCUUUCGGGGAACUUGAAAACAGGUGCUGCACGGCUGUCGUCAGCUCGUGUCGUGAGAUGUUGGGUUAAGUCCCGCAACGAGCGCAACCCUCGUCAUUAGUUACUAACAGUUCGGCUGAGGACUCUAAUGAGACUGUCUUCGUAAGGAGGAGGAAGGUGAGGACGACGUCAAGUCAUCAUGGCCCUUACGGCUAGGGCGACACACGUGCUACAAUGGUUAGGACAAUGAGAAGCGAUACCGCGAGGUGGAGCAAAUCUAUAAACCUAAUCUCAGUUCGGAUUGUAGUCUGCAACUCGACUACAUGAAGCUGGAAUCACUAGUAAUCGUAGAUCAGCCAUGCUACGGUAAAUACGUUCCCGGGUCUUGUACUCACCGCCCGUCACACCAUGGGAGUUGAUUUCACCCGGAGCGGGGAAGCUAAACUGGCUACCCUCCACGGUGGAAUUAGCGACUGGGGUGAAGUCGUAACAAGGUA
Molecule: ribosomal RNA, 714 nt
Filed under: uncultured bacterium
Lineage: Bacteria
Description: bacterial SSU rRNA
Rfam family: Bacterial small subunit ribosomal RNA
Source: RNAcentral